Small nuclear RNA from Rhinopithecus bieti (black snub-nosed monkey), 133 nucleotides. Its record names the gene U1. It matches the Rfam family "U1 spliceosomal RNA". Rfam says of the family: U1 is a small nuclear RNA (snRNA) component of the spliceosome (involved in pre-mRNA splicing). Its 5' end forms complementary base pairs with the 5' splice junction, thus defining the 5' donor site of an intron. The record is from Ensembl. NCBI's taxonomy places the organism in Eukaryota, Metazoa, Chordata, Mammalia, Primates, Cercopithecidae.
AUACUUACCUGACCAAGGAAGAUUCCAUGAUCAUGAAGGUGGUUUUCCCAGGAUGAGGCUUAUCAAUUGCACUCCAGAUGUGCUGACUCUUGAGAUUUCCCCAAAUACAGGAAACUUGACUGCAUGGAAAGGA